GCCCCAUAGUCUGGGAUACCACUUGGAAACAGGUGCUAAUACCGGAUAAGAAAGCGGAUCGCAUGAUCAGCUUUUAAAAGGCGGCGUAAGCUGUCGCUAUGGGAUGGCCCCGCGGUGCAUUAGCUAGUUGGUAAGGUAAAGGCUUACCAAGGCGAUGAUGCAUAGCCGAGUUGAGAGACUGAUCGGCCACAUUGGGACUGAGACACGGCCCAAACUCCUACGGGAGGCAGCAGCU
RNAcentral lists this ribosomal RNA (235 nucleotides) under uncultured Lactobacillus sp. RNAcentral's name for it is "partial 16S ribosomal RNA". It matches the Rfam family "Bacterial small subunit ribosomal RNA", at positions 128 to 355 of the family's 1533-position model. The record is from RNAcentral. Lineage: Bacteria; Bacillati; Bacillota; Bacilli; Lactobacillales; Lactobacillaceae.